RNAcentral lists this ribosomal RNA (243 nucleotides) under uncultured bacterium. RNAcentral's name for it is "partial 16S ribosomal RNA". It matches the Rfam family "Bacterial small subunit ribosomal RNA", at positions 534 to 776 of the family's 1533-position model. The record is from RNAcentral.
GCAAGCGUUGUCCGGAUUUACUGGGCGUAAAGGAUGCGUAGGUGGUUAUUUAAGUGGGAUGUGAAAUACCCGAGCUCAACUUGGGUGCUGCAUUCCAAACUGGAUAUCUAGAGUGCAGGAGAGGUAAGUGGAAUUCCUAGUGUAGCGGUGAAAUGCGUAGAGAUUAGGAAGGACACCAGUGGCGAAGGCGACUUACUGGACUGUAACUGACACUGAGGCAUGAAAGCGUGGGGAGCAAACAGG